This 164-nucleotide ribosomal RNA is filed under the name uncultured bacterium. RNAcentral describes it as "partial 16S rRNA". It matches the Rfam family "Bacterial small subunit ribosomal RNA", at positions 355 to 511 of the family's 1533-position model. The record is from RNAcentral.
UAGGGAAUCUUCCACAAUGGGCGCAAGCCUGAUGGGGCAACACCGCGUGAGUGAAGAAGGGUUUCAGCUCGUAAAGCCCUGUUGUUAAAGAAGAACACGUAUGAGAGUAACUGUUCAUACGUUGACGGUAUUUAACCGGAAGGUCACGGCUAACUACGUGACAG